Molecule: transfer RNA, 73 nt
Filed under: Candidatus Omnitrophota bacterium
Lineage: Bacteria; Pseudomonadati; Candidatus Omnitrophota
Description: tRNA-Arg
Rfam family: tRNA
About the family: Transfer RNA (tRNA) molecules are approximately 80 nucleotides in length. Their secondary structure includes four short double-helical elements and three loops (D, anti-codon, and T loops).
Source: RNAcentral
GCGCCUAUAGCUCAGAUGGAAAGAGCACGGCCCUCCUAAGGCUGAGGGGGUGGUUCGAGUCCACCUAGGCGCA